This 588-nucleotide long non-coding RNA is filed under the name Macaca nemestrina (pig-tailed macaque). RNAcentral's name for it is "lncRNA (ENSMNEG00000045593.1)". Lineage: Eukaryota; Metazoa; Chordata; Mammalia; Primates; Cercopithecidae. The record is from RNAcentral.
AGCUGGCGGGACCGUUAGCUCGAGGCGGACGCGGCCCGGGCCCCGUAGGGAUGGAGCAGUCGCCGCCGCCGGCGCCCGAGCCGACCCAAGGGCCGACCCCAGCAAGGAGCCGAAGGCGGCGGGAGCCCGAGUCGCCGCCGGCGUCGGCGCCGAUUCCUCUCUUUGGUGCUAACACUUUUGGCCAGAGGAGUCCUGAUGGACCGGUACUGAGCAAAGCUGAAUUUGUUGAGAAAGUUCGUCAGAGUAAUCAGGCCUGUCACAAUGGAGAUUUCCACACAGCUAUUGUUCUGUAUAAUGAAGCCCUGGCUGUUGACCCUCAGAACUGCAUCUUAUACAGCAAUAGAUCUGCAGCCUACAUGAAAAUCCAGCAGUAUGACAAGGCACUGGAUGAUGCAAUCAAAGCUCGACUUCUCAAUCCCAAAUGGCCAAAGACCCCACUGCAUAUGCCAUGUAUAGUGGCUAGCUGGUAUCCCACGCUUAUGUGAGAAGGGCUAAAUGAAGAGAUGCUGAGGCCCUUCAAACCCCACAGAGACUGUGAAACAGUGUUUUGGUGGUCUAUAGGAGAGGUUCAACUUGGCAAAUGUAGUG